GACGAACGCUGGCGGCGUGCUUAACACAUGCAAGUCGAACGGAAAGGCCCUGCUUUUGUUGGGUGCUCGAGGGGCGAACGGGUGAGUAACACGUGAGUAACCUGCCCUUGACUUUGGGAUAACUUCAGGAAACGGGGGCUAAUACCGGAUAGGAGCUCCUGCUGCAGGGUGGGGGUUGGAAAGUUUCGGCGGGUGGGGAUGGACGCGCGGCUUAUCAGCUUGUUGGUGGGGUAGUGGCUUACCAAGGCUUUGACGGGUAGCCGGCCUGAGAGGGUGACCGGCCACAUUGGGACUGAGAUACGGCGCAGACUGCUACGGGAGGCAGCAGUGGGGAAUAUUGCACAAUGGGCGGAAGCCUGAUGCAGAAACGCCGCGUGCGGGAUGACGGCCUUCGGGUUGUAAAACGCUUUCGCCUGUGACGAAGCGUGAGUGACGGUAAUGGGUAAAGAAGCACCGGCUAACUACGUG
RNAcentral lists this ribosomal RNA (468 nucleotides) under uncultured bacterium. RNAcentral describes it as "partial 16S ribosomal RNA". It matches the Rfam family "Bacterial small subunit ribosomal RNA", at positions 28 to 507 of the family's 1533-position model. The record is from RNAcentral.